AUGGAUUUACUGAGGCAUCACAACUUUCCAAGCCGAUUUCGCGACUGGAUUUCCGCUCUCCUUUCCACGGCCUCCUCCAGAGUCCUUCUCAACGGUGUUGCGGGCGACCCAAUCAUGCAUGGACGUGGUCUUCGUCAGGGGGAUCCUCUAUCCCCCCUUCUUUUCGUCCUAGCCAUUGACCCGCUCCAUCACAUCCUCGCAAAAGCUACCGAUCAAGGCAAUUUGCACCCCCUU
Molecule: ribosomal RNA, 234 nt
Filed under: Triticum aestivum (bread wheat)
Lineage: Eukaryota; Viridiplantae; Streptophyta; Magnoliopsida; Poales; Poaceae
Description: partial small subunit ribosomal RNA
Source: RNAcentral